RNAcentral lists this ribosomal RNA (211 nucleotides) under uncultured bacterium. RNAcentral describes it as "partial 16S ribosomal RNA". It matches the Rfam family "Bacterial small subunit ribosomal RNA", at positions 524 to 734 of the family's 1533-position model. The record is from RNAcentral.
UACGUAGGGUGCGAGCGUUGUCCGGAAUUAUUGGGCGUAAAGGGCUCGUAGGCGGUUUGUCGCGUCGGGAGUGAAAACCAGGUGCUUAACACCUGGCUUGCUUUCGAUACGGGCAGACUAGAGGUAUGCAGGGGAGAACGGAAUUCCUGGUGUAGCGGUGAAAUGCGCAGAUAUCAGGAGGAACACCGGUGGCGAAGGCGGUUCUCUGGGC